AGAGUUUGAUCAUGGCUCAGGACGAACGUUGGCGGCGUGCUUAAUACAUGCAAGUCAACUGAAGCACCGGUAGUAAUACUGGUGUGGAGGUGGCGCACGGGUGAGUAACACGUAGGUAAUCUGCCUUCAGGUCUGACAUAACCCCGAGAAAUCGGGGCUAAUAGCAGAUGAUGCAGCGGCUUGACAUCAAGACAGUUGUUAAAGCUUCGGCGCCUGAAGAUGAGCCUGCGUCUGAUUAGCUAGUUGGCGGAGUAACAGCCCACCAAGGCUACGAUCAGUAGCUGGUCUGAGAGGAUGAUCAGCCACACUGGAACUGAGACACGGUCCAGACUCCUACGGGAGGCAGCAGUAAGGAAUAUUGCUCAAUGGGAGAAAUCCUGAAGCAGCAACGCCGCGUGAGGGAUGAAGGGCUUUUGCUUGUAAACCUCUGUAGUGAGAGAAAAAAACUCCAAUCUUUGGAGCAUGAUGGUUCUCAAAAG
Molecule: ribosomal RNA, 479 nt
Filed under: uncultured Wolinella sp.
Lineage: Bacteria; Pseudomonadati; Campylobacterota; Epsilonproteobacteria; Campylobacterales; Helicobacteraceae
Description: bacterial SSU rRNA
Rfam family: Bacterial small subunit ribosomal RNA
Source: RNAcentral